GACGAACGCUGGCGGCGUGCCUAACACAUGCAAGUCGAACGGAGAAUUAGCAAUAAUUCUUAGUGGCGAACGGGUGAGUAACGCGUAGACAACCUGCCCUUUAGAUGGGGACAACAGAUCGAAAGGUCUGCUAAUACCGAAUAUUGUUUGAGAAACGCAUGUUUCACAAACUAAAGAUGGCCUCUAUUUAUAAGCUAUCGCUAAAGAAUGGGUCUGCGGCUGAUUAGCUAGUUGGUGAGAUAAAAGCUCACCAAGGCAACGAUCAGUAGACGGGCUGAGAGGAUGGGCGGCCACCCUGGGACUGAGAGACGGCCCAGACUCCUACGGGAGGCAGCAGUGGGGAGUCUUCCGCAAUGGACGAAAGUCUGACGGAGCAACGCAGCGUGAGUGAUGAAGGUGUUCGGAUCGUAAAACUCUGUUGUUAAGGACGAAUGUAUAGAUUGUGAAUAAUGGUUUAUAAUGACGGUACUUAACGAGGAAGCCACGGCUAGCUACGUGCCAGCCGCCGCCGUAA
Molecule: ribosomal RNA, 514 nt
Filed under: uncultured bacterium
Lineage: Bacteria
Description: partial 16S ribosomal RNA
Rfam family: Bacterial small subunit ribosomal RNA
Source: RNAcentral